RNAcentral lists this ribosomal RNA (403 nucleotides) under uncultured bacterium. RNAcentral describes it as "bacterial SSU rRNA". It matches the Rfam family "Bacterial small subunit ribosomal RNA", at positions 355 to 775 of the family's 1533-position model. The record is from RNAcentral.
CAGGGAAUAUUAGUAAUGGGCGAAAGCCUGAACUAGCAACGCCGCGUGUGCGAAGAAGGCCUUCGGGUUGUAAAGCACUUUUUGAGAGGAUGAGGAAGGACGGUACUCUCAGAAUAAGUCUCGGCUAACUACGUGCCAGCAGCCGCGGUAACACGUAGGAGGCGAACGUUAUCCGGAUUUACUGGGCGUAAAGCGCGUGUAGGUGGUUUGGUAAGUAGGGCGUGAAAGCUCCUGGCUCAACUGGGAGAGGCCGUUCUAAACUGCCGAACUAGAGGAUGGUAGAGGGAGGUGGAAUUCCGGGUGUAGCGGUGGAAUGCGCAGAUAUCCGGAGGAACACCAGUGGCGAAAGCGGCCUCCUGGACCACUCCAGACACUCAGACGCGAAAGCUAGGGUAGCAAACGG